GAACGCCCCGCAAGGGGAGUGGCGCACGGGUGAGUAACGCGUGGGAAUAUGCCCCUGACUGCGGAACAACGUCUGGAAACGGACGCUAAUACCGCAUAAUGUCUACGGACCAAAGAUUUAUCGGUCAGGGAUUAGCCCGCGUUGGAUUAGCUAGUUGGUGAGGUAAUGGCUCACCAAGGCUACGAUCCAUAGCUGGUCUGAGAGGAUGAUCAGCCACACUGGGACUGAGACACGGCCCAGACUCCUACGGGAGGCAGCAGUAAGGAAUAUUGGACAAUGGAGGCAACUCUGAUCCAGCCAUGCCGCGUGUGUGAUGAAGGCCUUCGGGUUGUAAAACACUUUCAGGUGUGACGAUGAUGACGGUAACACCAGAAGAAGCUCCGGCUAACUUCGUG
Molecule: ribosomal RNA, 395 nt
Filed under: uncultured bacterium
Lineage: Bacteria
Description: bacterial SSU rRNA
Rfam family: Bacterial small subunit ribosomal RNA
Source: RNAcentral